CCUACGGGUUGCACCAGUGGGGAAUAUUGCACAAUGGGCGCAAGCCUGAUGCAGCCAUGCCGCGUGUAUGAAGAAGGCCUUCGGGUUGUAAAGUACUUUCAGUCGUGAAGAAGGUAGUGUAGUUAAUAGCUGCAUUACUUGACGUUAGCGACAGAAGAAGCACCGGCUAACUCCGUGCCAGCAGCCGCGGUAAUACGGAGGGUGCGAGCGUCAAUCGGAAUUACUGGGCGUAAAGCGCAUGCAGGUGGUUUGUUAAGUCAGAUGUGAAAGCCCGGGGCUCAACCUCGGAAUAGCAUUUGAGACUGGCAGACUAGAGUACUGUAGAGGGGGGUAGAAUUUCAGGUGUAGCGGUGAAAUGCGUAGAGAUCUGAAGGAAUACCGGUGGCGAAGGCGGCCCCCUGGACAGAUACUGACACUCAGAUGCGAAAGCGUGGGGAGCAAACAGGAUUAGAUACCCCCGUAGUC
RNAcentral lists this ribosomal RNA (465 nucleotides) under uncultured bacterium. RNAcentral describes it as "bacterial SSU rRNA". It matches the Rfam family "Bacterial small subunit ribosomal RNA", at positions 338 to 795 of the family's 1533-position model. The record is from RNAcentral.